Molecule: RNA transcript, 2370 nt
Organism: Girardinichthys multiradiatus
Lineage: Eukaryota; Metazoa; Chordata; Actinopteri; Cyprinodontiformes; Goodeidae
Gene name: RNA-binding protein 4.1-like
Exons: 6
Source: RefSeq, a predicted model, not a curated record
UAGUUUUCUUCAACCAAUCAACUUUCGUGGAUUUUGAUUGGCGUCUGUGCCCCCCAAUCAGAUUCCUACUUCCAGCAUACCGCCAGCCACCUCUUUGAUAUAUGUGUGAUUGGAGUUUCUUUCGAUCUCGUUAUCCCCAAACAGACGGUACACUGGAGCAACCAUGGUGAAGAUUUUCAUCGGUAACCUCUCUCCGGAAACGGCGAGAGAGGACAUCGAAGCUCUCUUUCUGAAGUACGGCACAGUGACGGAAUGCGCGAAGUACAAAAACUAUGCGUUCGUCCACAUGGAUGAUCGCAAGUCGGCCACCAAAGCUAUCCGUGAGCUCCAUCUGCACAAGCUGGACGGCAGGCCCAUCAACGUGGAGCCCAGCAGAGGGAAGAACCAGGGUCCCGUGAAGCUCCACAUUGCCAAUGUUGAGAAGGGCUUUGAUAGUGAGCUGCGCGACCUGUUUGAAGAGUACGGCACAGUCACAGAGUGUUCAAUUGUAAAGAACUUUGCAUUUGUCCACAUGCCUCAUUAUGAUGAAGCCAUGGAUGCUCUGGAGGGCCUGGAUAACACAGAGUUUAAGGGAAAACGUAUUCACGUUCAGGUAUCAAAAAGCAGACCGAGAGGGGGCCCUGAGGAUGAGGACGAUUAUCCACCUCCACCAGGCAGAGGAGGCUACUUUCCUUCGUAUUACCCGGUGGCGAGGCCUGAGCCUCCCUACAGAGGACGCAUGUCUGCUUACGCCCCUCCUCCUCCACCUCCUUCCCCUCUACCACCACCCCCUCCUGUGAGACGAGUGCCGUAUCCCGACCGUAGUUAUGGCGACAGAGUAUCCUAUGGGGCAGUGGAUUAUUAUGAGAAAUACAGAGCCCGUCCUUACAGCACUACAAGUUAUGACGAUAGGCGUGCCAUACCGCCUCCUCCGCCUCCUUCAUCAGCUCUGGUUAGAGAACGGCUCGGGAUGACAGGGUCACUUGACCCUUAUGAGCGGCGUCCUCUUCCGGCCCCGCCUACUUAUGUUCUGAGGGACCGGAGCCCGAUCAGGAGAAUCCCCCCUCCACCUACUUCGACAGCUGGGAAUGGGUAUUCCUAUGAGCGCUCUCGGCUCUCGCCGAUGUCCAGGGCUACGUUGUACGCGGCGCCCCGUGUCCGGGAUCCCUAUGCGGAGAGAGUGCCUCCCCCACCACCACCUCGCUAUGCAGGCUAUUAGAGGGCCAGAGUGUAACACAAGGUGGUUAAGCCAUCUACAGGAUAGGCUAUCCCCUGGUAAGUCAUCCCUGAUGUCAAGCAAGAGGAACAAGGUUUCUCGGUUUACUGAUGCUGAAAAAGAGAAUUCCAACAUAAGUCAGAGAGACAAAAUCAGAUUGUUCAAUAUUCUGAGAGUUCUUCUGUCUUCUACCUGCAUUGGAUCAAAGGGGGAACUUGUGACAGGGAUGGUCUUCCUGAUGAGGUCAUCUAACCACUUCCUCCCAGCUGUAGAUGAGCUGCUCCUCCAACAAACUACACCAUAGAAGAUGGCAGAUAGCACCACAGAGUCAAAAAAGCUCUUCAAGAGAUCCCCCUGGACUACAAAAGAUCUCAGCCUCCUUAGCAGGUAGAGUCUGCUCUGACCCUUCCUGUAAAGUGCAUCAGUGUUGUGUCUCCAGUCCAGUUUAUAGUUCAGAUGAACAUAAGAGUCCAAUAUUGCAGUGCCAGUUCCCUGGAUGCUGACUUCUAUUUGGGCAGAGCCUUUAUCUUGGGAUUUAUCCUGGACUUGUUGUUGGAGAAACACUGUCAAGUCAUGAGGGGGUUUGGUGUGUGUGUGUGUGUUUGAGAUGCAGUCUGUCACGCUAUCAAUUUCCUCCCCAUGAACAGCACAGAACUUCCUACAUGGUGGCGCUGUGGAGCUUUUGGGAGUAUUUGCGGGCUUGUUAGUAUGUAAAGAUGCAAUAUGAUGAUUGCUUUCUUCUUUUCUGGAGGUAACCAUUGCAAAUAUGAGAAGACGAUCGCCUGUGUUUUAUAGCAAUCACUAAGCUAGCUAGACAGAGAGAAUUCACGCCGUUGGUAUCCUUGGCGACACACUGUACACCAUGUCAGGUAUUUACAAGCCUAAAAAGUCUUUUGAGGUUUGCAAAACUUGACUGAACAUUGUGCUCUUUUAAAAGGAGAACUGCACAUCCUGUGGGAGUUCAGUCCAUUGGUGGGAGGAGCUGGAACAGAAUGUCCCAAGCCUCCAGAAAGUCCCCAACUUCUAUUCUUUCCAAAUCCUGGCUGCUAAAAUGAUGAGUUCAGGGAAAAACAAAAUCCCCUAUUGGUUAUGUUUUAUCUUCUGUGACAUCAUACUGCAAAACUGUUGUCAUGUUUUAUAUUUCUUUGAUGUAUUAAAAAGUUUUAUGGUCUGAA